Molecule: ribosomal RNA, 461 nt
Filed under: uncultured bacterium
Lineage: Bacteria
Description: bacterial SSU rRNA
Rfam family: Bacterial small subunit ribosomal RNA
Source: RNAcentral
CCUACGGGAUGCAGCAGUGGGGAAUAUUGCACAAUGGGCGCAAGCCUGAUGCAGCCAUGCCGCGUGUAUGAAGAAGGCCUUCGGGUUGUAAAGUACUUCCAGCGGGGAGGAAGGUGUUGUGGUUAAUAACCACAGCAAUUGACGUUACCCGCAGAAGAAGCACCGGCUAACUCCGUGCCAGCAGCCGCGGUAAUACGGAGGGUGCAAGCGUUAAUCGGAAUUACUGGGCGUAAGGCGCACGCAGGCGGUCUGUCAAGUCGGAUGUGAAAUCCCCGGGCUCAACCUGGGAACUGCAUUCGAAACUAGCAGGCUAGAGUCUUGUAGAGGGGGGUAGAAUUCCAGGUGUAGCGGUGAAAUGCGUAGAGAUCUGGAGGGAUACCGGUGGCGAAGGCGGCCCCCUGGACAAAGACUGACGCUCAGGUGCGAAAGCGUGGGGAGCAAACAGGAUUAGAUACCCCUGU